AGAGUUUGAUCAUGGCUCAGGAUGAACGCUAGCGGCAGGCUUAACACAUGCAAGCCGAGGGGCAGCACAAAGAUAGCUUGCUAUUCUGGUGGCGACCGGCGAAUGGGUGAGUAACGCGUAUGCAACCUACCCUCUACAGGAAGAUAGCUUGGAGAAAUCCAAAUUAAUAUUCCAUAAUAUCAUUUAGACACAAGUUUAAGUGAAGAAAGCUUUGGCGGUAGAGGAUGGGCAUGCGCCCUAUUAGUUAGUUGGUGGGGUAACGGCUCACCAAGACAGCGAUAGGUAGGGGGCCUGAGAGGGUGAUCCCCCACACUGGUACUGAGACACGGACCAGACUCCUACGGGAGGCAGCAGUGAGGAAUAUUGGACAAUGGAGGCAACUCUGAUCCAGCCAUGCCGCGUGCAGGAAGACGGCCCUAUGGGUUGUAAACUGCUUUUAUUUAGGAAGAAACCCUUCUACGUGUAGAAGGCUGACGGUACUAUAUGAAUAAGGACCGGCUAACUCCGUGCCAGCAGCCGCGGUAAUACGGAGGGUCCAAGCGUUAUCCGGAAUUAUUGGGUUUAAAGGGUCCGCAGGCGGAACUUUAAGUCAGGGGUGAAAUUUCUAGGCUUAACCUAGACAUUGCCUUUGAAACUAAAGUUCUUGAACUCGGUCGAAGUGGGCGGAAUAUGUCAUGUAGCGGUGAAAUGCUUAGAUAUGACGUGGAACUCCGAUAGCGAAGGCAGC
Molecule: ribosomal RNA, 727 nt
Filed under: uncultured Brumimicrobium sp.
Lineage: Bacteria; Pseudomonadati; Bacteroidota; Flavobacteriia; Flavobacteriales; Crocinitomicaceae
Description: bacterial SSU rRNA
Rfam family: Bacterial small subunit ribosomal RNA
Source: RNAcentral